CUCGUCACGGCUGCUCUGCCCGCCUCCGCCUCGCCAGCUGUGCAUGUCGCCAGCGUGCGCACCCAUGUGCCCGUCACGCUCGACCUCGCCGCCUCGAACUUCACCAAGUGGCGGAUGCUUGUCCGUGUCCUCUUCAGCAAGUAUGACUUGCUUCCCCACGUCAACGCCAUCACUGCCGCGGCGGACCGCACGCCAGACUGGACUCGCGACGACUACGUCGUUCGGUCGUGGCUCUACGGGUCCAUCUCCGACGAAAUCCUCGACAUAAUCAUGGCGGAGGAUCAAACGGCCCAGGAAGCAUGGACGCUCAUCACCAACCUUUUUCUGGACAAUCAGAUGACUCGCGCUGUUUACCUCGAGGCGGAGUUUCGAGGCCUCGUCCAAGGCGAUCUCUCCAUCACCGCUUACUGUCAUCGCCUCAAGGCCCUUUCGGAUGCUCUCAGCGACGUCGGCACACCCGUCUCCGACCAAACGCUCGUCCUCAACUGCCUCCGUGGGCUCAACCCGCGCUUCUCCGACAUCACCACGAUCGUCACUAUGCAGAGCCCCUUGCCGUCCUUCGCCCAGACGCGCUCUCUUCUCACUCUGCGCGAGACGCAGCUCGCGAACUCCACAGCCGUGGGGAACCAGACUGCGCUCUACAGCGGAGGUCCGUCCCAUGGCGCAGGCAGCUCCAACUCGUCC
Molecule: ribosomal RNA, 684 nt
Filed under: Triticum aestivum (bread wheat)
Lineage: Eukaryota; Viridiplantae; Streptophyta; Magnoliopsida; Poales; Poaceae
Description: partial small subunit ribosomal RNA
Source: RNAcentral